CCCUUAGAUGUUCUGGGCCGCACGCGCGCUACACUGAUGCAUUCAACGAGUUUCUUCCUGGUCCGAGAGGAAUGGGUACCCUUUUGAAAGUGCAUCGUGAUAGGGAUAGACUAUUGCAAUUAUUGGUCUUCAACGAGGAAUUCCUAGUAGACGUAGUUCAUCAGACUGCAUCGAUUACGUCCCUGCCCUUUGUACACACCGCCCGUCGCUCCUACCGAUUGAAUGCUCAGGUGAGCCAUUCGGACUUUCAUCAUGCUGGUUUCCAGUUUUGAUGAAGGAAAGUCUUGCGAACCUUAUCAUUUAGAGGAAGGAGAAGUCGUAACA
Molecule: ribosomal RNA, 324 nt
Filed under: uncultured eukaryote
Lineage: Eukaryota
Description: partial 18S ribosomal RNA
Rfam family: Eukaryotic small subunit ribosomal RNA
Source: RNAcentral